AGGUGGUUAUAGCACGAGGGUUCCACCUCUUCCCAUUCCGAACAGAGAAGUUAAGCCUCGUCACGCCGAUGGUACUGCGUAACAGUGGGAGAGUAGGUAGCCGCCAU
This 107-nucleotide ribosomal RNA is filed under the name Bacteroides thetaiotaomicron. The record is from RNAcentral. Lineage: Bacteria; Pseudomonadati; Bacteroidota; Bacteroidia; Bacteroidales; Bacteroidaceae. RNAcentral also lists the same sequence under 1 other name.